GCCGGGAUGUGAGUCGCUCC
RNAcentral lists this unclassified non-coding RNA (20 nucleotides) under Chlamydomonas reinhardtii. RNAcentral's name for it is "small RNA Cre_1717". The record is from RNAcentral. Lineage: Eukaryota; Viridiplantae; Chlorophyta; Chlorophyceae; Chlamydomonadales; Chlamydomonadaceae.